GGGGAGUGGCGCACGGGUGAGUAACACGUGGGAACCUGCCUAUCGGUUCGGAACAACGUUUGGAAACGAACGCUAAUACCGGAUAUUCCCUCAGGGGGAAAGAUUUAUCGCCGAUAGAGGGGCCCGCGUCCGAUUAGGUAGUUGGUGGGGUAAUGGCCUACCAAGCCGACGAUCGGUAGCUGGUCUGAGAGGAUGAUCAGCCACACUGGGACUGAGACACGGCCCAGACUCCUACGGGAGGCAGCAGUGGGGAAUAUUGGACAAUGGGCGCAAGCCUGAUCCAGCAAUGCCGCGUGAGUGAUGAAGGCCUUAGGGUUGUAAAGCUCUUUCGCACGUGACGAUGAUGACGGUAACGUGAGAAGAAGCCCCGGCUAACUUCGUGCCAGCAGCCGCGGUAAUACNAAGGGGGNUAGCGUUGUUCUNAAUUACUGGNUGUAUUGGUUGCGUAUNCGGCCCGAUCNNUCAAAAGUGAAAGCCCCGGCNU
Molecule: ribosomal RNA, 484 nt
Filed under: uncultured bacterium
Lineage: Bacteria
Description: bacterial SSU rRNA
Rfam family: Bacterial small subunit ribosomal RNA
Source: RNAcentral